This 529-nucleotide ribosomal RNA is filed under the name Sitophilus oryzae (rice weevil). Its description in RNAcentral is "SSU rRNA". It matches the Rfam family "Eukaryotic small subunit ribosomal RNA", at positions 54 to 560 of the family's 1831-position model. Lineage: Eukaryota; Metazoa; Arthropoda; Insecta; Coleoptera; Curculionidae. The record is from RNAcentral.
CAUGUCUCAGUACAGCCAAAUUAAGGUGAAACCGCGAAAGGCUCAUUAAAUCAGUUAUGGUUCCUUAGAUCGUACCCACAAUUACUUGGAUAACUGUGGUAAUUCUAGAGCUAAUACAUGCAAAUAGAGCUCCGACCGGAGACGGAAGGAGUGCUUUUAUUAGAUCAAAACCAAUCGGUGGCGGGUUCGCGCUCGUCAUCGUACAACUUGGUGACUCUGAAUAACUUUACGCUGAUCGCACGGUCUCGCACCGGCGACGCAUCUUUCAAAUGUCUGCCUUAUCAACUGUCGAUGGUAGGUUCUGCGCCUACCAUGGUCGUAACGGGUAACGGGGAAUCAGGGUUCGAUUCCGGAGAGGGAGCCUGAGAAACGGCUACCACAUCCAAGGAAGGCAGCAGGCGCGCAAAUUACCCACUCCCGGCACGGGGAGGUAGUGACGAAAAAUAACGAUACGGGACUCAUCCGAGGCCCCGUAAUCGGAAUGAGUACACUCUAAACCCUUUAACGAGGAUCCAUUGGAAGGGCAAGA